CCAAUGGACUGUGAUAGUCUCGUCAGUUUUUGUCUUUACUCGAUUUGACAGUAGUUUGACAUUUAUGUUCAAUUUAAUCUCCAAGUGAACAUUUUUGAUAACUCCAAUAGAGUACUUGGAUUAUUGUUCGAAGUAAUUGAUAAUAUGGAAAACAGUGCAGACAAAGAAGAACAAGGCAAUCAGGAUGACUCGGAUUCAGAAGUAGACGAGAUUGAACCUAGGUUAAAGUACAUUAGAAUGCGAAAUGAUCUGGAACAGAUUUUACAAAAUGAUGCUGCCAGCUGCAUCGCUGUACAUACAAAGUUCCUAUGCCUUGGUUCACAUUGGGGCAUGAUCCACCUUCUUGACCAUCAGGGUAAUAAUAUACAAUCGAAAACGCUUCAGGCGCACGCAGUUGCUGUCAAUGAAAUAUCUAUAGAUCAAAAUGGAGACUAUAUUGCCUCUUGCAGUGAUGAUGGAAAAGUUUAUAUUUAUGGACUAUAUAGUUCUGACGAUAAUCUCAAUAUGAGCAUGGGUAGGCUUGUAAAAAGUAUAGCGAUUGAUCCAAAAUAUUACAAAAGUGGUAGUGGCAGACGGUUUAUUACAGGUGAUGACAAACUGGUUUUAUACGAGAAGACCUUUCUGUCACGUGUGAAGCCUGUUGUUCUCUGCGAGGCCGAAGGUGGUGUCAGAUCUACAGCAUGGGCUGGAGAAUUUGUAGCUUGGGCAUCGGACAUUGGUGUCAGGAUAUAUGACUUAAAUGCAUGCUGUUCCUUAGGACUUAUUAAAUGGACUCGAUCGGCAGAUGCUUUACCAGAGCACUACAGGUGUAACCUUCGAUGGUCGGGUGAUAGGACAUUACUCAUCGGGUGGGUAGAUACUGUUCGUGUCUGUCAAAUAAAAAAACGACUCAUGCAGGACAUUACAAAUCGAGACUUGCCUGAGUACUUCGUGGAUCCAGUGUCAACGUUCCAAGUUGAUUUUUACAUAUCCGGUAUUGCCCCGCUUGAUAAUCAAUUGGUUCUGCUGGGUUGUUCAAAGGAAUUGGAUGAAAAUGGCAAAAGUCAGCGUCCAACCUUGCAAGUCAUCGAACCAAAAUAUCAGGACUUCUCCGAGAUUUGUGCAAAUUCUCUCACGCUGCGUGGCUAUAAAGAGUACGGAUGUAACGAUUAUCAUUUAGAUUGUUUGGUCCACGAAAACAGAUUCUUCAUAGUGAGUCCGAAAGAUAUCGUCAUUGCCAGUCUGUACGAUGCAGAUGAUCGGAUUGAAUGGUUGCUUGCUCAUAAAAAGUUUGAAGAAGCUCUGGAAGCCGUGAUGACCAACGACGGUAAAGAUUGUAAAAAGCACUCUUUGAUAUACGUUGGUCGAAUAUAUCUGGAUCACCUUUUAAACUCUGGCAAAUACGACGAAGCCGGUAAGCUGUGUUUGAAGGUUUUGGGUCGGGAUAAGAAGCUCUGGGAGGAAGAGGUGUACAAAUUUGCAAGAGUUCAUCAACUGCGUUCAAUCUCUUCAUACCUUCCUAGGGGUGACGUUAUCUUGGACCCUAAUGUUUAUGAAAUGGUACUCUUCGAGUAUCUUAAUAUGGAUCCUGAGGGCUUCUUGCACCUCGUAAAGGAAUGGUCACCGAAACUGUAUAACGUUGCUGCGAUAGUAAAUGGUGUUAUUGAUCACAUCAUCCAAAACCCUCAUCAGACUGCUCUCCUAGAAGCUUUAGCUAUUCUGUACAGUCACGAAGGAAAAUACGAUAAAGCUCUAGCUAUGUACCUGAAACUUCGACAUAAGGAUGUGUUUCAACUAAUUCAGAAACAUCAGCUCUGCUCUUCGAUCCAUGACAUGAUCGAGGGGCUCAUGAACCUAGAUGCAGAGAGAGCGAUACGGUUCUUCCUGGAGAAAGAUAGAAUCCCAUCGGACGUUGUUGUCGAAAAGUUGAAAAACAAUCAUUGGUACCUAUACAUGUAUUUGGAUGCUCGAGACAAAACGGACACGAAAGAUUCAAAGGGGAAAUACCAUGGACUUUUAGUUCGCCUCUAUGCCGAUUACUCCAGAGACAAAUUACUACCAUUGCUUAGACGUUCGGAUAAUUAUCCAAUACAACAGGCUCUGGAUAUUUGCAGUCAAAGGUACUUUUAUCCAGAAAUGGUUUAUCUCCUGGGCAGGAUUGGCAAUACCUCAGAAGCAUUAGCGCUUAUGACUCGAAAACUCAAUGACAUGGAAAGUGCUAUUGCUUUCUGUCAGGAACACGAUGAUGAAGAACUCUGGAACGAUCUGGUUAAUUACUCUUUGGAUAAACCAGAGGCAAUUACGUUUCUGCUUCAGAAAAUAGGAACGUAUGUAGAUCCUAGGUUAAUAGUACAGAAAAUAGAACCGUCGUUGGAAAUACCUGGCUUGAAGAAAGCGCUCGUCAAAAUGAUGAGGGAUUACAACCUUCAGGUAUCUGUGCAAGAGGGGUACAAAAAAAUCUUGUCGAGUGACUAUUUUAAUCUACAUGAUAGACUCGUUCGAUCCCACCAAAAAGGGAUUUUUAUGGAUGACGAUCAGAUGUGUGGCGCGUGUCAACGUAAGAUCAUCGUGAGAGAGCCACGGAAUCUAGUCAUAUUUUAUUGCAAACAUUCCUUUCAUGAAGAUUGUUUACCGAAUUUAAAAUUGUUGGAUAACUGUGUGAUAUGCAAUCCACAAAAGGACACCUCACCGGGUAGAAAAUGAUACAUCUGUGAAUCGGAAGUGUUCCAAUACUACAAGUUCGAUAAUCUGGUCACAAGUUAUUGAAACAAAGGAUAGAUUUAGAGGAUCGAAUUGUAGAUCUUACUCUAUGCACUGGACAUGGCUUGCUUAGUCUUUGGCAGCCUUCGCAUGUUUUUACGCAGUCAAGAAAGUGGGUGUGGAUCUCAUCGGAAUUAC
RNAcentral lists this unclassified non-coding RNA (2877 nucleotides) under Orussus abietinus. RNAcentral describes it as "vacuolar protein sorting-associated protein 41 homolog, transcript variant X3". The record is from RNAcentral. Lineage: Eukaryota; Metazoa; Arthropoda; Insecta; Hymenoptera; Orussidae.